Molecule: non-coding RNA, 306 nt
Organism: Oryza sativa Japonica Group (Japanese rice)
Lineage: Eukaryota; Viridiplantae; Streptophyta; Magnoliopsida; Poales; Poaceae
Source: RefSeq, a predicted model, not a curated record
ACGAAUAUCAAGCGAAUAAUAAGCAUGAAGGAGAAGAAGUUCACAAACCUAAAGUCUCAUGACUGUCACGUGUUGAUGACACAACUGCUACCAGUUGUAAUAAGGGGUAUCCUUCCAGACAAUGUCCGGGCAACAAUAACAAAGCUAUGUGCAUUCAGGAACGCAAUUUCGCACAAGGUCAUCGAUCUGGAUAGAUUAGAAGCCCUUCAGAAUGAUGUGGUGCAAUGUCUCGUCAGUUUUGAGUUGAUAUUUCCACCUUCAUUUUUCAAUAUAAUGACGCAUCUGCUUUGUCAUCUUGGUACCUGA